CAAGGUUUCNGUAGGUGAACCUGCGGAAGGAUCAUUA
Molecule: ribosomal RNA, 37 nt
Filed under: Saprolegnia delica
Lineage: Eukaryota; Oomycota; Saprolegniomycetes; Saprolegniales; Saprolegniaceae
Description: partial 18S ribosomal RNA
Source: RNAcentral